UACGGAGGGUGCAAGCAUUAAUCGGAAUUAUUGGGCGUAAAGGGCGCGUAGGCGGAUUAGUAAGUCAGAUGUGAAAUUCCGGAGCUCAAUUUCGGAGCUGCAUUUGAAACUACAAAUCUUGAGGAUUGGCGGAGAGAACGGAAUUCCACGUGUAGCGGUGAAAUGCGUAGAUAUGUGGAAGAACACCGGUGGCGAAAGCGGUUCUCUAGCUUAUACCUGACGCUGAGGCGCGAGAGCAAGGGGAUCAAACAGG
RNAcentral lists this ribosomal RNA (253 nucleotides) under uncultured bacterium. RNAcentral's name for it is "partial 16S ribosomal RNA". It matches the Rfam family "Bacterial small subunit ribosomal RNA", at positions 524 to 776 of the family's 1533-position model. The record is from RNAcentral.